CAAUUGCGUAUAUUAAAGCUGUUGCGGUUAAAAAGCUCGUAGUUGGAUUUCUGUCAAGGACAACUGGUCCGCCCCUCGGGUGAGCACAUAGUUUGGUCUUGGCAUCUUGUUGGAAACUGUUGCUGCACUUGGUUGUGUGGCGCAGUGUCCAGCACUUUCACUUUGAGGAAAUUGGAGUGUUUCAAGCAGGCACAUGCCUUUGGACACAGUAGCAUGGAAUAAUUAGAUUGGGCUUUUGCUCCAACUUGUCGGUUUCUGGAGCUGAGGUGAGAAUUAAUGGGGAUUGUUGGGGGCAUCCGAAUUUAGCCGUCAGAGGUGAAAUUCUUGGAUCUGCUAAAGACGGACAACUGCGAAAGCGUUUGCCCAGGAUGUUUUCAUUGA
This 381-nucleotide ribosomal RNA is filed under the name uncultured eukaryote. RNAcentral describes it as "partial 18S ribosomal RNA". It matches the Rfam family "Eukaryotic small subunit ribosomal RNA", at positions 592 to 976 of the family's 1831-position model. The record is from RNAcentral.